CUUAACACAUGCAAGUCGAGCGCCCCGCAAGGGGAGCGGCAGACGGGUGAGUAACGCGUGGGAAUCUACCUUUUGCUACGGAAUAACUCAGGGAAACUUGUGCUAAUACCGUAUGUGCCCUUCGGGGGAAAGAUUUAUCGGCAAAGGAUGAGCCCGCGUUGGAUUAGCUAGUUGGUGAGGUAAAGGCUCACCAAGGCGACGAUCCAUAGCUGGUCUGAGAGGAUGAUCAGCCACACUGGGACUGAGACACGGCCCAGACUCCUACGGGAGGCAGCAGUGGGGAAUAUUGGACAAUGGGCGCAAGCCUGAUCCAGCCAUGCCGCGUGAGUGAUGAAGGUCUUAGGAUUGUAAAGCUCUUUCACCGGUGAAGAUAAUGACGGUAACCGGAGAAGAAGCCCCGGCUAACUUCGUGCCAGCAGCCGCGGUAAUACGAAGGGGGCUAGCGUUGUUCGGAUUUACUGGGCGUAAAGCGCACGUAGGCGGACUUUUAAGUCAGGGGUGAAAUCCCGGGGCUCAACCCCGGAACUGCCUUUGAUACUGGAAGUCUUGAGUAU
This 554-nucleotide ribosomal RNA is filed under the name uncultured Ochrobactrum sp. RNAcentral describes it as "bacterial SSU rRNA". It matches the Rfam family "Bacterial small subunit ribosomal RNA", at positions 47 to 649 of the family's 1533-position model. Lineage: Bacteria; Pseudomonadati; Pseudomonadota; Alphaproteobacteria; Hyphomicrobiales; Brucellaceae. The record is from RNAcentral.